GUCAAGGCAGUUUCAAAUGUCUGCCCAGGCUGAUUCCACCUUUUGUUGAGUUCAGAAGAGCACAGAAAAUGCUGCAGUUACAGACAUUUUUUGCAAACAGUCUCCCACAUCCUCCUUCCCAGACUUCCCCAUCUCCACACCUCUCUGACCACUUUUGCAGCAGAACCACUGUUUUCUAGGUCAGCAGUUCUCAACUGUGACCCUGCUGGAAUUCAUUAACCUAGUUUCAGGCUCCGUAUGUUGGGACUGACGAGGCAAUCCUGAAAAUGGUUCCUCUGGCAUCUCAGCUUCACAAAUUAUGCACACUUAUUUGAGACACUGAUUCUUGCGACCUGCCCAGGCUCCCCGGUGCCACCGUGUGUCUUCCUGCGGAGGAAAUGAGGCUGACACAACAGGCAGAAGUCUCCAACACAAGGGGUAGGCUGUUACCUUGUCAUUAUCCACACCACCACAGGAAAUUGUACCCUGAAUGAUCAGAGUAAAAGGCAAUACAAAACCAU
Symphalangus syndactylus (siamang) is the source of this 500-nucleotide long non-coding RNA. RefSeq lists it as uncharacterized. Lineage: Eukaryota; Metazoa; Chordata; Mammalia; Primates; Hylobatidae. The record is from RefSeq and is a predicted model, not a curated record.